This 451-nucleotide ribosomal RNA is filed under the name uncultured marine bacterium. RNAcentral's name for it is "bacterial SSU rRNA". It matches the Rfam family "Bacterial small subunit ribosomal RNA", at positions 359 to 804 of the family's 1533-position model. The record is from RNAcentral.
CAUAUUGGACAAUGGGGGCAACCUUGAUCCAGCAAUGCCGCCAGGGUGAAGAAGGCAUGCGGGUCGUAAAGCACUUUCAGUAGAGAAGAAAAGCCUACGGUUAAUAACCGUGAGUCUUACGUUACUUACAGAAGAAGCUCCAUCUAACUCCGUGCCAGCAGCCGCGGUAAUACGGAGGGAGCGACCGUUAUUCUCAAUUACUGGGGGUAAAGCGGGGGUAGGCGGCUUUUUAAGUAGGAUGUGAAAGCCUUGGGCUCAUCCUGGGAAUGGCAUUUGAUAAUGCAGAAGUAGAGUAUGGUAGAGGGAACUGGAAUUUCCGGUGUAGCGGUGAAAUGAGUAGAUAUCGGAAGGAACACCGGUGGUGAAGGAGACUUCUUGGCCCAAUACUGACGAUGAGGCGGCAAAGCGUGGGUAGCAAACAGCAUUAGAUACCCCGGUAGUCCUCCCCGCA